GGGCACAGAGGCUCCCUUGUCUUGCUUAGUUUUGAUACACAGACUCUCCUAGAUGUUUUAAAAAUAGUAGAGGAGGGGGUUUUCAGAAAAAAUGGUUUUCAGAAAACAUGGGCAUUUUGUAGGACCCAGAUGCCUGAUACCUGCAAUGUACUCAUGGACCAGAGGGAAGACACCAGUUUUCCUGUUUUCUGUAGGAGCCUUCCUGGCCAGCUGUGGGUGGACAAGGGCAGGCAAGGACCGACCCUCAGGCACCGGAUGCCUGUGUUUUGUAGCCUAGGAACCUGGCUGUCUCUUCUGCAGCUUGGGUUCUGGGAAAAUGGUAUUGUGGAAUUUCUCAAAUAUGUUCCAAAAUAAGCUUGGAGAAUGUUCUAGAACCAUGGUCUCAGGGGAGGAAGAGCUCAGGUUGAGGAGCUGAAGAUGCGGGUUCAGUCCUGGUUCCAGAGAUUGCUUCCCCUCUAGAUCUGGGCAAGUUCCUUACUUCCAAAACCCUGUUUCAUGACUGGUAAAUCAGGAGUGUUGAUGCUUGUGUCAAGCCCAGCAUACUUUGAGGCACACAGUAGGUCCACCUAAGGGAAUAAUGCUCCUCUUCUCUGUGGAGUGUCCAGUGCAACAGUAGCUUCCUUCUACUUGGAAAUGAGCUAAGGGGGGAGCUAAGGGAAUGAGAAUAACUCCAGGUCUGAGAACAUGGAGUAGUUGGUGUCAGUACUC
This 708-nucleotide long non-coding RNA is filed under the name Rattus norvegicus (Norway rat). Its description in RNAcentral is "long non-coding RNA NONRATT011007". Lineage: Eukaryota; Metazoa; Chordata; Mammalia; Rodentia; Muridae. The record is from RNAcentral.